RNAcentral lists this transfer RNA (71 nucleotides) under Trigoniophthalmus alternatus. RNAcentral's name for it is "tRNA-Tyr". It matches the Rfam family "tRNA". Rfam says of the family: Transfer RNA (tRNA) molecules are approximately 80 nucleotides in length. Lineage: Eukaryota; Metazoa; Arthropoda; Insecta; Archaeognatha; Machilidae. The record is from RNAcentral.
AGUAAAAUGGCUGAGAGAUAGGCAUAAGACUGUAAAUCUUAUAAUGAGUAGAACAUUGUACUCUUUUAUUA